CCUACGGGAGACAGCAGUGAGGAAUAGUGGUCAAUGGACGAGAGUCUGAACCAGCCAAGUAGCGUGAAGGAUGACAGCCCUAUGGGUUGUAAACUUCUUUUAUAAAGGAAUAAAACGCGGCACGUGUGCCUUUUUGCAUGUACUGUAUGAAUAAGGAGCGGUUAACUCCGUGCCAGUAGCGGUGGUACUACGGAGGAUCCGAGCGUUAUCCGGAUUUAUUGGGUUUAAAGGGAGCGUAGAUGGGUUGUUAAGUCAGUUGUGAAAGUUUGCGGCUCAACCUUAAAAUUGCAAUUGAUACUGGCAGGCUUGAGUACAGUUGAGGUAGGCGGAAUGCGUAGUGUAGCGGUGAAAUGCUUAGAUAUCACGAAGAACCCCGAUUGCGAAGGCAGCUUACUAAACUGUACCUGACAUUGAUGCUCGAAAGUGUGGGUAUCAAACAGGAUUAGAUACCCGGGUAGUC
This 460-nucleotide ribosomal RNA is filed under the name uncultured bacterium. RNAcentral's name for it is "partial 16S ribosomal RNA". It matches the Rfam family "Bacterial small subunit ribosomal RNA", at positions 338 to 795 of the family's 1533-position model. The record is from RNAcentral.